This 460-nucleotide ribosomal RNA is filed under the name uncultured bacterium. Its description in RNAcentral is "partial 16S ribosomal RNA". It matches the Rfam family "Bacterial small subunit ribosomal RNA", at positions 338 to 795 of the family's 1533-position model. The record is from RNAcentral.
CCUACGGGAGGCUGCAGUGAGGAAUAUUGGUCAAUGGACGAGAGUCUGAACCAGCCAAGUAGCGUGAAGGAUGACUGCCCUAUGGGUUGUAAACUUCUUUUAUAUGGGAAUAAAAUGUUCCACGUGUGGGAGUUUGUAUGUACCAUAUGAAUAAGGAUCGGCUAACUCCGUGCCAGCAGCCGCGGUAAUACGGAGGGUCCGAGCGUUAUCCGGAUUUAUUGGGUUUAAAGGGAGCGUAGGUGGAUUGUUAAGUCAGUUGUGAAAGUUUGCGGCUCAACCGUAAGAUUGCAGUUGAAACUGGCAGUCUUGAGUACAGUAGAGGUGGGCGGAAUUCGUGGUGUAGCGGUGAAAUGCUUAGAUAUCACGAAGAACUCCGAUUGCGAAGGCAGCUCACUGGACUGCAACUGACACUGAGGCUCGAAAGUGUGGGUAUCAAACAGGAUUAGAUACCCCUGUAGUC